This 407-nucleotide ribosomal RNA is filed under the name uncultured bacterium. Its description in RNAcentral is "partial 16S ribosomal RNA". It matches the Rfam family "Bacterial small subunit ribosomal RNA", at positions 30 to 526 of the family's 1533-position model. The record is from RNAcentral.
AUUGAACGCUGGCGGCAGGCCUAACACAUGCAAGUCGAGCGGAGCGGCGGACGGGCGAGUAAUGCCUAGGUAUCUGCCUGGCAGUGGGGGAUAACGUCCGGCUAUGGGCGCUAAUACCGCACACUCUCAGUUGAGUCUAGGUCGGAUUAGCUAGUUGGUGGGGUAAAGGCUUACGAAGGCGACGACCCGUACCUGGUCUGAGAGGAUGAUCAGUCAAACUGGAACUGAGACACGGUCCAGACGCCUACGGGAGGCAGCAGUGGGGAAGAUUGGACAAUGGGCGAAAGCCUGAUGCAGCCAUGCCGCGUGUGUGAAGAAGGUCUUCGGAUUGUAAAGCACUUUAAGUUGGGAGGCGUUACCAACAGAAUAAGCACCGGCUAACUUCGUGCCAGCAGCCGCGGUAAUAC